This 426-nucleotide ribosomal RNA is filed under the name uncultured bacterium. RNAcentral describes it as "bacterial SSU rRNA". It matches the Rfam family "Bacterial small subunit ribosomal RNA", at positions 356 to 773 of the family's 1533-position model. The record is from RNAcentral.
GGGGGAUAUUGCGCAAUGGGCGAAAGCCUGACGCAGCGACGCCGCGUGGGUGAUGAAGGCCUUCGGGUCGUAAAGCCCUGUCGCGGGGAACGAAACGGUCUCGACCUAACCCGUCGAGUCCCUGACGGUACCCCUAAAGGAAGCACCGGCUAACUCCGUGCCAGCAGCCGCGGUAAUACGGAGGGUGCAAGCGUUGUUCGGAAUCACUGGGCGUAAAGGGCGUGUAGGCGGUCCGCUAAGUCUGAUGUGAAAGCCCGGGGCUCACCCCCGGAAGGGCAUUGGAAACUGGCGGACUCGAGUCCCGGAGAGGAAGGUGGAAUUCCUGGUGUAGCGGUGAAAUGCGUAGAUAUCAGGAGGAAUACCGGUGGCGAAGGCGGCCUUCUGGACGGUGACUGACGCUGAGACGCGAAAGCGUGGGGAGCAAAC